Molecule: ribosomal RNA, 707 nt
Filed under: uncultured Pseudomonadota bacterium
Lineage: Bacteria; Pseudomonadati; Pseudomonadota
Description: bacterial SSU rRNA
Rfam family: Bacterial small subunit ribosomal RNA
Source: RNAcentral
UGCAGUCGAACGCGAAAAUACCUUCGGGUAUGAGUAGAGUGGCGCACGGGUGAGUAACGCGUGGGAACGUACCCUGAAGUAAGGGAUAGCCUCGGGAAACUGGGAUUAAUACCUUAUAAUGUCUCCGGACCAAAGAUUUAUCGCUUCAGGAUCGGCCCGCGUUAGAUUAGUUUGUUGGUGGGGUAAUGGCCUACCAAGGCAACGAUCUGUAGCUGGUCUGAGAGGACGAACAGCCACACUGGGACUGAGACACGGCCCAGACUCCUACGGGAGGCAGCAGUGGGGAAUAUUGGACAAUGGGCGAAAGCCUGAUCCAGCAAUGCCGCGUGUGUGAAGAAGGCCUGCGGGUUGUAAAGCACUUUCAGUUGGGAAGAUGAUGACGUUACCAACAGAAGAAGCACCGGCUAAAUCCGUGCCAGCAGCCGCGGUAAUACGGAUGGUGCGAGCGUUAAUCGGAAUUACUGGGCGUAAAGCGCGCGUAGGCGGCUAAGUCAGUCAGAAGUGAAAGCCCCGGGCUCAACCUGGGAAUUGCUUUUGAUACUGCUUGGCUAGAGUUUGGUAGAGGAUAGUGGAAUUCCAGGUGUAGCGGUGAAAUGCGUAGAUAUCUGGAGGAACAUCAGUGGCGAAGGCGACUGUCUGGACCAAAACUGACGCUGAGGUGCGAAAGCGUGGGUAGCAAACAGGAUUAGAUACCCUGGUAGAAGGGC